This 131-nucleotide microRNA precursor is filed under the name Olea europaea subsp. europaea. It matches the Rfam family "MIR167 microRNA precursor family". Lineage: Eukaryota; Viridiplantae; Streptophyta; Magnoliopsida; Lamiales; Oleaceae. The record is from RNAcentral.
GAGAAGGAAUAAGUGAAGCUGCCAGCAUGAUCUAACCAGGGUUAAACUUCGAAUUUAAAAGUUCAGAAGAGACGAUGGGAGAAUACUAACCCUAGUUAGGUCAUGCUCGGACAGCCUCACUCAUUCCUCUA